This 138-nucleotide ribosomal RNA is filed under the name uncultured bacterium. RNAcentral describes it as "partial 16S ribosomal RNA". It matches the Rfam family "Bacterial small subunit ribosomal RNA", at positions 355 to 487 of the family's 1533-position model. The record is from RNAcentral.
UGAGGAAUAUUGGUCAAUGGUCGGAAGACUGAACGAGCCAUGCCGCGUGCAGGAUGACGGCCUUAUGGGUUGUAAACCUGUUUUGUAUGGGAAGAAUAUGGGGUACGUGUCCUCUAAUUGAUCGGUAUCUAUAUGAAU